ACUUAAAUUGAAGAGUUUGAUCAUGGCUCAGAUUGAACGCUGGCGGCAGGCCUAACACAUGCAAGUCGAGCGGUAGCACAGAGAGCUUGCUCUCGGGUGACGAGCGGCGGACGGGUGAGUAAUGUCUGGGAAACUGCCUGAUGGAGGGGGAUAACUACUGGAAACGGUAGCUAAUACCGCAUAACGUCGCAAGACCAAAGUGGGGGGACCUUCG
This 214-nucleotide ribosomal RNA is filed under the name Klebsiella pneumoniae. Its description in RNAcentral is "partial 16S ribosomal RNA". It matches the Rfam family "Bacterial small subunit ribosomal RNA", at positions 1 to 215 of the family's 1533-position model. The record is from RNAcentral. Lineage: Bacteria; Pseudomonadati; Pseudomonadota; Gammaproteobacteria; Enterobacterales; Enterobacteriaceae.